This 253-nucleotide ribosomal RNA is filed under the name uncultured bacterium. RNAcentral describes it as "partial 16S ribosomal RNA". It matches the Rfam family "Bacterial small subunit ribosomal RNA", at positions 524 to 776 of the family's 1533-position model. The record is from RNAcentral.
UACGGGGGGGGCAAGCGUUGUUCGGAAUUACUGGGCGUAAAGGGCGCGUAGGCGGCUUGGCAAGUCGGAUGUGAAAUCCCUCGGCUCAACCAAGGAAGUGCAUCCGAAACUGCUGAGCUUGAGUACUUAAGAGGAUCGCGGAAUUCCCGGUGUAGAGGUGAAAUUCGUAGAUAUCGGGAGGAACACCAGUGGCGAAGGCGGCGAUCUGGGAAGAUACUGACGCUGAGGUGCGAAAGCGUGGGGAGCAAACAGG